AUUGAACGCUGGCGGCAGGCCUAACACAUGCAAGUCGAGCGAGCGGCGGACGGGUGAGUAAUGUCUGGGAAACUGCCCGAUGGAGGGGGAUAACUACUGGAAACGGUAGCUAAUACCGCAUACAAUCGGCUUUGCCCAGAUGGGAUUAGCUAGUAGGUGGGUUAAAGGCGCACCUAGGCGAAGAUCCCUAGCUGGUCUGAGAGGAUGACCAGCCACACUGGAACUGAGACCCGGUCCAGACUCCUACGGGAGGCAGCAGUGGGGAAUAUUGCACAAUGGGCGCAAGCCUGAUGCAGCCAUGCCGCGUGUAUGAAGAAGGCCUUCGGGUUGUAAAGUACUUUCAGCGGGGAGGCGUUACCCGCAGAAGAAGCACCGGCUAACUCCGUGCCAGCCGCCGCGGUAAUUC
This 406-nucleotide ribosomal RNA is filed under the name uncultured bacterium. Its description in RNAcentral is "partial 16S ribosomal RNA". It matches the Rfam family "Bacterial small subunit ribosomal RNA", at positions 30 to 526 of the family's 1533-position model. The record is from RNAcentral.